This 505-nucleotide ribosomal RNA is filed under the name Orthetrum japonicum. RNAcentral's name for it is "partial 16S rRNA". It matches the Rfam family "Bacterial large subunit ribosomal RNA", at positions 1819 to 2597 of the family's 2925-position model. Lineage: Eukaryota; Metazoa; Arthropoda; Insecta; Odonata; Libellulidae. The record is from RNAcentral.
GGCCUUUUGAAUUUAAUAUAAGGUCUGACCUGCCCAGUGAUAAUUUUAACGGCCGCGGUAUAUUGACCGUGCAAAGGUAGCAUAAUCAUUAGUCUUUUAAUAGAGGGCUGGAAUGAAAGGUUUGACGAGGAACUGGCUGUCUCAUUUUAUUUGUUUUAAAAUUUAAUUUUUUAGUUAAAAAGCUAAAAUUUUAUUGGUAGACGAGAAGACCCUAUAGAGCUUUACAUGUAAUUAUUUUGAUAUUUUUAUAUUAAUAUUUCUAAUUAAUUAUGUGUUUUGUUGGGGUGACAAAAAUAUAUAAUUAACUAUUUUAUUUAGUUAACAUUGAUUUAUGAAUAUUGGAUCCAUUAUUAUUGAUUGUUAGACUAAGUUACCUUAGGGAUAACAGCGUAAUCCUCCUCCAGAGUUCAUAUUUACAGGAUGGGCUUGCGACCUCGAUGUUGGAUUAAGAUAAUAAUUAGGUGUAGCCGCUUAAUUAAUAGGUCUGUUCGACCUUUAAAUUCUU